GGUUGGAGUAGGGUUGCUAGGAGAGAGCUCAGAAAGCUCAAGAUGGCUGCCCGAGAAACAGGGGCUCUAAAAGAAGCAAAAGACAAACUGGAAAAACGUGUAGAAGAACUUACUUGGCGUUUGCAGCUUGAGAAACGUUUGAGGACUGAUUUAGAAGAGGAGAAGGCACAAGAAAUUGCCAA
Long non-coding RNA from Hibiscus syriacus, 182 nucleotides. RefSeq lists it as uncharacterized. The transcript is spliced from 3 exons. Lineage: Eukaryota; Viridiplantae; Streptophyta; Magnoliopsida; Malvales; Malvaceae. The record is from RefSeq and is a predicted model, not a curated record.